UACGUAGGGGGCGAGCGUUGUCCGGAUUUAUUGGGCGUAAAGAGCUCGUAGGCGGUUUGUUAAGUCUGCUGUGAAAGCCCUGGGCUCAACCUGGGAAUGGCGGUGGAUACUGACAAGCUAGAGUGCGGUAGAGGAGGGUGGAAUUCCCGGUGUAGCGGUGAAAUGCGUAGAGAUCGGGAGGAACAUCAGUGGCGAAGGCGGCCCUCUGGACCAGCACUGACGCUGAGGCACGAAAGCGUGGGGAGCAAACAGG
Molecule: ribosomal RNA, 253 nt
Filed under: uncultured bacterium
Lineage: Bacteria
Description: partial 16S ribosomal RNA
Rfam family: Bacterial small subunit ribosomal RNA
Source: RNAcentral